Molecule: ribosomal RNA, 440 nt
Filed under: uncultured bacterium
Lineage: Bacteria
Description: partial 16S ribosomal RNA
Rfam family: Bacterial small subunit ribosomal RNA
Source: RNAcentral
CUACGGGCGGCUGCAGUAGGGAAUAUUGGUUAAUGGGCGAAAGCCUGAACCAGCAACGCCGCGUGCGCGAUGAAGGCCUUCGGGCUGUAAAGCGCUUUUUGAGGGGAUGAGAAAGGACAGUACCCUCAGAAUAAGUCUCGGCUAACUACGUGCCAGCAGCCGCGGUAAAACGUAGGAGGCGAGCGUUAUCCGGAUUUACUGGGCGUAAAGCGCGUGCAGGCGGUUCGGUAAGUUGGACGUGAAAGCUCCUGGCUAAACUGGGAGAGGUCGUUCAAUACUGCCGGGCUAGAGGAUGGGAGAGGGAGGUGGAAUUCCGGGUGUAGUGGUGAAAUGCGUAGAUAUCCGGAGGAACACCAGUGGCGAAGGCGGCCUCCUGGCCCAUAUCUGACGCUCAGACGCGAAAGCUAGGGUAGCAAACGGGAUUAGAUACCCCGGUAGUC